Molecule: non-coding RNA, 60 nt
Filed under: Marinobacter lutaoensis
Lineage: Bacteria; Pseudomonadati; Pseudomonadota; Gammaproteobacteria; Pseudomonadales; Marinobacteraceae
Description: Xanthine-I sequence
Rfam family: Xanthine riboswitch aptamer (NMT1 RNA)
About the family: Later it was reported as a ncRNA that recognised Xanthine.
Source: Rfam by way of RNAcentral
GUCCUGAGUAGAAGCAGUCAGAAGCCGCCCUGUCGGCGGUUUCGGGUCAUUGCUCAGUCG